RNAcentral lists this ribosomal RNA (464 nucleotides) under uncultured bacterium. RNAcentral describes it as "partial 16S ribosomal RNA". It matches the Rfam family "Bacterial small subunit ribosomal RNA", at positions 29 to 507 of the family's 1533-position model. The record is from RNAcentral.
ACGAACGCUGGCGGCGUGCUUAACACAUGCAAGUCGAACGGAAAGGCCCUGCUUGCAGGGUACUCGAGUGGCGAACGGGUGAGUAACACGUGGGUGAUCUGCCCUGCACUUCGGGAUAAGCCUGGGAAACUGGGUCUAAUACCGGAUAGGAGCCAUUUUUAGUGUGAUGGUUGGAAAGUUUUUUCGGUGUAGGAUGAGCUCGCGGCCUAUCAGCUUGUUGGUGGGGUAAUGGCCUACCAAGGCGGCGACGGGUAGCCGGCCUGAGAGGGUGGACGGCCACAUUGGGACUGAGAUACGGCCCAGACUCCUACGGGAGGCAGCAGUGGGGAAUAUUGCUCAAUGGGCGCAAGCCUGAUGCAGCGACGCCGCGUGGGGGAUGACGGCCUUCGGGUUGUAAACUCCUUUCGCUAGGGACGAAGCUUUUUGUGACGGUACCUAGAUAAGAAGCACCGGCUAACUACGUG